CCCUGGUUGUCAGUGACUGACAAGCAGCCACAUCUGUGCUACUGCUGUGCCAGUCAUCCAAGGCACAGAUGCCACCUCUUCCACGUCACAUCCUGGCCAUCUCUCCAGAUACUUCCAUCACCCUCAGGUUCUUUGUCUAGUUCCCAAUUUGGCUCUGUGACUACCCAGCCACCUGCCUUUAUUUGACAUAGAGAUGACCGUGGCUCUCACUGCAGUUCUCACUGCUCAUUCUAUAAUGUUCAUCAUUCCUUUGGAUUUCUGUCCAACUGCUCAUUCUCUAGCCCCUAAACAAUUCCAAUCUUCUCUCCAGGCCACCACCAACUCCACCAGACACCUAAACUAGCUGAAAUACCAUCAAAAGGAAAAAAACUGUCACUUGUUCACGUGACAGGGAUAACAUGGGGAAAAACAGGAUGAGAGUUUUAAAAAGGUGGGAAAAUGGAAAGACUCAAAUGGCAUUUUCUUACCUAGCAUUUGCAAGUGGAUUCAAUUAGGAGAAAAAGCCUAUGAGGGUCAUUAACAAUUU
Molecule: long non-coding RNA, 526 nt
Filed under: Homo sapiens (human)
Lineage: Eukaryota; Metazoa; Chordata; Mammalia; Primates; Hominidae
Description: non-protein coding lnc-RAPH1-7:1
Source: RNAcentral